This 254-nucleotide ribosomal RNA is filed under the name uncultured bacterium. RNAcentral describes it as "partial 16S ribosomal RNA". It matches the Rfam family "Bacterial small subunit ribosomal RNA", at positions 524 to 776 of the family's 1533-position model. The record is from RNAcentral.
UACGUAGGGGGCGAGCGUUGUCCGGAUUUAUUGGGCGUAAAGAGCUCGUAGGCGGUUCGGUAAGUCGGAUGUGAAAUCUCCACGCUCAACGUGGAGGGGCCAUUCGAUACUGCCGUGACUCGGGUCCGGUAGGGGAGUGUGGAAUUCCCGGUGUAGCGGUGAAAUGCGCAGAGAUCGGGAGGAACACCCGUAGCGAAGGCGGCACUCUGGGCCGGUACUGACGCUGAGGAGCGAAAGCGUGGGGAGCGAACAGG